Molecule: long non-coding RNA, 3603 nt
Organism: Bombus huntii
Lineage: Eukaryota; Metazoa; Arthropoda; Insecta; Hymenoptera; Apidae
Exons: 3
Source: RefSeq, a predicted model, not a curated record
AGGGAGCAUUAAGAACUCUAUUUUAGCGAUGGCUACGAUACGGAAACGACUAACGAACCAAUCCAUUCAAACUUCGACUAAUAACUUGCGAAUGACGCGGAAUUUCAGCCUGCGUUUUGGUAUCGUAACAGGCCGUCGUUCGACUAUUCCGCGAACGAAAUGAAUGAAAAAGUUAUAUAAACAUACAGUUACAAAAACAUACAAGAUCGAAUAGAAGAUACGUAUCUAGUGGAUGAAUAUUCUGUGUAUUACGUAAAAGGUACGAUGAAAACAAACAAAUUAUGAAAAAAUUUAUAAGAGGAGCCUCUAUGUAUGCUUGUUGGAAUCUGAUGAACGAACACACUGAUUACAUAUGUAUAUUUUAGUAGUACACUAUGUGCUAUGUUAACGUAACACGGAGAACAGAUUUACAACGAAUUUCGUAGUACAUGCGCAGUUGCGAAUCCAGUCAGCGGAAGAUCUUCCGAAGAAGGACCUUAGGAGCGUGAAUUUAGUUCUUAAUUGAUAGAAAGCGCGAGUUCCGAAUGGACUUUGAAUCGUUAGUUUAUUAGUAAUUUAUUGAAUAGGGUGUUUUGAACGAUGCCAAUAAUGAAAAGUCGGAAUUGGAAUAAGGAUUCAGUACUAGUACAUAAAUUGUUGGUUAUCUAACAGGUUAUUAGAUAUUGUAAAAUACGUUGGAUUCUCGAUAGGUUAUCCUCUACGCAUAGCAUAAUAAACGACCAAAUUUUGUCUCUCACGUUUCGCUUCGAGAUACUCCGACGGUUUGUUUGUAGCCAUUCCAAAUACAUUAACACUAAUGUAUUUUGUAUGUAACAAGUAACGUUGCACAACGUGUAACUCGCACUAUAUAAGUUAACUGCUAAAUCGUUUUCUUCGUAAUUCUUUAAAUUAGAUACAAUUCAUAGAACCUGUUUAUCGUUCCGAUCAUAUCAAUCAAAUAUUUUAGGAUGGCAUUCGUCCGAGAAUAAUCGUUCGCGUGUCACGCGCAAUUGAACAAUUUUAAUUAAAACAAAUUUAAAAAUUCAUAAUAACAACAAUCGUACAAUACUUAAAGCACAUUUCCAUUAAAUCGUUGCCAAUGACAAUCUUUCUAAAUUAGAUGCAAUUCAUCGAAUUUGAUUUGUUAAUUCUAUUUAUAGAACAUUACCAGGAAGGAAGAUGUUACACGUAACAAUUGUUGAACAAGUUGGAUAAAAAUAAAUGUUAGCAAGGAUUGAUCGAAGCUGUCGCUAUUGCAUGUGCGACAGAGCACAUGGCUCGCGGAAAAAUGGAUUCCUUUUAACUGGUUUACGUGCGAUCUCGCCUCUGCUAUCGCGUCAUCGUUCUCGCUUACGAGUUCGUAUUUCCGUGGGCCUCCCGUCGAAACGUCACGAAUUCCGACGAUUUGACGCCGUACACUUACGAUGUUGGCUGCCAAUCGAUCGCCGCUGCCAGACUAGCUACCCCCUCCCCGCCGAUAUUCUCGACAUUGGCAAACAUUUCACGAACUGUUAUACGAUCAGAGGUUCGUAAAACUUGACAAUUUUUACAAAAUCCCGAUACCGUAGAAAUACAUUCCGAUCGAACGAGCGUUGUAACAUUUUAAUCGCCUCACGCAAAUAUUUACUAAACUAUAUAUUAUUGGGACAAGUGUAUCAAAUGAAACUUGUUCUGUUUCAAGGGGGGGGGGGGGGGGCGCCUUACGAUGACCGUCAAAUUUAUCUGGGUGCACGCGUUUCUCAGGUCUCGAGCUAUCGUUGUUCUUUUAAAUGGAACUAUACAUUUCUUGUUAUAUAUUUAUUACAAUUUUUUUUUCACGAAGUUUUUAAUUUUACUUUACAGAAAAAGUAUUAAAGUACUUGUAUGAAGAAAUGUUUAAUUUGAAAAACAUUUGCACGUUAACGAAAUCGAGCGUAUGAACAAGGAAAACGUAAACAUAAAAGCACUGCGUUAUCUUUCCUUGUCCUUCAUACGAUAAGUCUUGCAAGAUUAGUUGUAGUAUCUUUUAAACUAGUCAUUUUUCGAUCAAAGUACCUUAACGACUUUUUGUAAAGAAUUAAAAAAUGCAUCGCAUGGUCUCUAGAAAAAUGUAUAUUUUUAUUUUAUAAAGGCCAGACAUUGUAACUGUUAUAGAAUGAAUUUUUAAGGUUAUGGCAUAAGAGUUCAUUUAUUUAAUUAAAUACAAGUUUCGUUACGAAUAAUUAUUAUCGAUGACGGAGAUUUCAUUUUGCUUGCUAGUAAUCAUUAUCGAUGGACAGAAUUUUAUUUUGGUUAUAAAUAACCGUUCAAACUAAAUACAAUCUUUGAUUACCAGUAAUCGUUGCCUAUCGAGGACAGGGAUUUUAUUUUGGUUAUGAUUAGUCAUUAUCGAUGACGGAAAAUUAAUUUUGGUUACGAAUAAUUAUUAUCGGCAGCAAAAAAGUUUUGCAAAAUUGUUGGUAGCAUCACUGGCAAUUAGCGCAUAUUCAUUGACAACAUAAAAAAGGCUAAUUAUAAAAUUUAUUGUAUUUAAAAAAAGAGCACGAAAAUAUGUGAAACAGAGAAUAGAAUGAAGAUAUUGUACUACCAUAAUUUUUAUCAUAUUCGUUGUUUCACACAUUUUCAUACAGUUUCUUUACUUAAUAAAUAAGUCUUAUAAUUAAGUUCUUUUAUGCUGUCAGUAAAUAGUAAUUAUCAGUAAUAUUAAUGAUAAAUUGACAAUAGUCGAAUAUAACCAAAAAAUAAUGUUUUCGCAGCUGAUAUUGGUUAGUGAUAAUAAAAAAAAUUUUUCGGUGUCGAUAAUGUAAUGAUCAUAGUUAAUCAAGUGUAAUUAGGUUAACCAAAUUAUAGUUAACCAAAAAGAUUCCUGUCUCAUUAAUAUUAAUAUUAUUUAAAUAUUAAAUUUCUGUCAUCGAUAAUGGUUACUGGUAGGUAAAAAAUAUUUUAAUCAAUGUAAGUUUCAUUUGAAACAUUAUUUCGAGUAAUGUGUAGUGUGUGAGAUAUUUACAUGGAUCGAUUAAAAUGGGACACCCUGUAUAACACCUAGCAACUUGAAUUGCUCACUCAAAUAAGAAUCCCAAAUUUUACGAAAUAUUACGUUUCCAUUAAAAAAAAGUUCUAUCUCUUCCGUUAAUCAUAACAAUUAGCCGAUGCUUGGAAAAUAACACUUAUCGUGUGCCAUUGAUAUUUAAUGAUAAAUCACUAGAUGUUUUAUGUAUGUACUAAGAUCGUCGACGUGGAUAAUUUUAAUUGAUUUUCGCGGAAAGCUACGUAACUGUUACACUUUUCGCUAGCUCUUAUUGCGCCUUCAAUUUUUCCUUUUUUCCUUUACAUUUUUGCUAAAAACUGUCAACGUGGAGAUAAACGAGAUUUGGAAAUAUUACACAUUUGUAUGAUUUACAAAUAACGUAUUUAUUUCGGUUCUCUGCUUCGUCUUCAUCGAAUAUUUGAAAAAGACAAUGGCCAACAACACUAGUUCCAAAAAAAACGUUAAGAAACCAAAGAAACCACAAACUAGCGAAGAUAUGAUGAUAUAUUGUGGUACUGAAAUAUAUCAUAAUAUGCUUAUUUUAACAUUAAGUAUACUAUGAUAGAGAAAUGUCGAAGUUAUUGAAAAUAUUGAAAAUAAUAUAAAUAUAAUAUAAA